This 703-nucleotide ribosomal RNA is filed under the name uncultured bacterium. RNAcentral describes it as "bacterial SSU rRNA". It matches the Rfam family "Bacterial small subunit ribosomal RNA", at positions 8 to 701 of the family's 1533-position model. The record is from RNAcentral.
AGAGUUUGAUCAUGGCUCAGAUUGAACGCUGGCGGCAGGCCUAACACAUGCAAGUCGAACGGUAACAGGAAGAAGCUUGCUUCUUUGCUGACGAGUGGCGGACGGGUGAGUAAUGUCUGGGAAACUGCCUGAUGGAGGGGGAUAACUACUGGAAACGGUAGCUAAUACCGCAUAACGUCGCAAGACCAAAGAGGGGGACCUUCGGGCCUCUUGCCAUCGGAUGUGCCCAGAUGGGAUUAGCUUGUUGGUGGGGUAACGGCUCACCAAGGCGACGAUCCCUAGCUGGUCUGAGAGGAUGACCAGCCACACUGGAACUGAGACACGGUCCAGACUCCUACGGGAGGCAGCAGUGGGGAAUAUUGCACAAUGGGCGCAAGCCUGGUGCAGCCAUGCCGCGUGUAUGAAGAAGGCCUUCGGGUUGUAAAGUACUUUCAGCGGGGAGGAAGGGAGUAAAGUUAAUACCUUUGCUCAUUGACGUUACCCGCAGAAGAAGCACCGGCUAACUCCGUGCCAGCAGCCGCGGUAAUACGGAGGGUGCAAGCGUUAAUCGGAAUUACUGGGCGUAAAGCGCACGCAGGCGGUUUGUUAAGUCAGAUGUGAAAUCCCCGGGCUCAACCUGGGAACUGCAUCUGAUACUGGCAAGCUUGAGUCUCGUAGAGGGGGGUAGAAUUCCAGGUGUAGCGGUGAAAUGCGUAAGAUCUGG